GUGUGUGUGUGUCCGGGGAGGGGAGGAGGCGCCAAGGUGCAGCCUGCGUGCGGCUCUGCGCCUCGGCGGGGCUGCGUGCGUGUGUCCCUGUCCGCGCUGCUGAAACGGGCUCUUCGAGGGAUUGGCGUCAUAUGACUCCGCCUGCUGUCCCCCCAGCAUCUCGCUCACAUCGCCCUUCCCUUGGUUCGCUGAGGGAGGGUCGGACAACCUCCCCAGGGGCCCCCGCGGCUCUGCGGAGAGAAGAGGUUCCAGCCAGGAAAGGUCCAGCUAGGAGCGCGGCGCGGGAUCUCAAAGUGUAGAUCUGGAAGGGGGCGGGGUGUGAGAGAGCGAGGGAGGGCGGGGGAGAGAGAGAGAGAGAGAGAGAGCGCGCGAGCGAGCGAGGGAGAGCGAGGGAACGAUUCAGCGAGCGCCAGAGAACGGCAGAGCGCGCACCGACGAGGGGCAGUCGGGUGCCUCUCUGAGAUGUAAGUGCGUAGAGGUCUCUCUGGCCUACCUACUAGCAGCACCAUGCAGAAGGCCAUCCGGCUCAACGAUGGCCACGUCGUGUCCCUGGGACUGCUGGCCCAGAAGGACGGCACGCGCAAAGGCUACCUGAGCAAGAGGAGUCCGGACAACCCCAAAUGGCAAACCAAGUGGUUUGCGCUGCUCCAGAACCUGCUCUUCUACUUCGAAAGCGACACCAGCCCUCGGCCCUCGGGGCUCUACCUGCUCGAGGGAAGUGUCUGCAAACGCACGCCCUCCCCGAAGCGAGGGACCUCCUCCAAGGAGUCCGGCGAGAAACAGCAACACUACUUCACAGUGAACUUCUCCAAUGACAGCCAGAAGUCCCUAGAGCUGAGGACCGAGGACGCCAAGGACUGUGACGAGUGGGUGGCAGCGAUCGCUCGCGCCAGCUAUAAGAUACUGGCUACAGAGCAUGAGGCGCUUAUGCAGAAGUACCUGCACCUGCUGCAGGUAGUGGAGACAGAGAAGACCGUGGCUAAGCAGCUGCGGCAGCAACUUGAGGAUGGUGAGGUCGAAAUCGAGCGACUGAAGACCGAGAUUACAAACCUGAUCAAGGACAACGAACGGAUCCAGUCCAACCAGCUCGUUCCUGCUACUGAGGAGGACAGUGACCUCAAGAAAAUUAAGAAGGUCCAAAGCUUCCUUCGGGGAUGGCUGUGCCGUCGAAAGUGGAAGAACAUCAUCCAGGACUAUAUCCGGUCUCCCCACGCCGACAGCAUGCGCAAGAGGAACCAGGUAGUGUUCAGCAUGCUGGAGGCCGAGGCUGAGUACGUGCAGCAACUACACAUCCUUGUCAACAAUUUCCUGCGCCCACUGCGCAUGGCUGCCAGCUCUAAGAAACCCCCUAUAACUCAUGACGACGUCAGCAGCAUCUUUCUGAACAGUGAGACCAUCAUGUUCCUGCAUCAGAUCUUCUACCAAGGCCUGAAGGCUCGUAUCUCCAGCUGGCCCACCCUGGUGCUGGCGGAUCUGUUCGACAUCCUGCUGCCAAUGCUGAACAUCUACCAGGAGUUCGUCCGCAACCACCAGUACAGCCUCCAGAUCCUUGCACACUGCAAGCAAAACCGGGACUUUGACAAGCUUCUCAAGCAGUAUGAGGCCAAGCCAGACUGCGAGGAGCGCACACUGGAGACCUUCCUCACUUACCCCAUGUUCCAGAUCCCCAGGUACAUCCUGACACUCCAUGAGCUGCUGGCCCACACACCUCAUGAGCAUGUGGAGCGCAACAGCCUGGACUAUGCCAAAUCCAAACUUGAGGAGCUGUCCAGGAUCAUGCAUGACGAAGUCAGUGAGACCGAGAACAUCCGCAAAAACCUGGCCAUUGAGCGUAUGAUCACCGAGGGCUGUGAGAUCCUCCUUGACACCAGCCAGACCUUCGUGCGCCAAGGUUCCCUCAUCCAGGUGCCCUUGUCAGAUAAGAGCAAGAUGUCUAGGAGCCGCCUGGGAUCUCUGUCCAUUAAGAAGGAGGGUGAGCGCCAGUGUUUCCUGUUCUCCAAGCAUCUCAUCAUCUGCACCAGAGGCUCUGGUGGGAAACUGCACCUAACCAAGAAUGGAGUCAUAUCCCUAAUCGACUGCACCUUACUGGAUGAACCAGAAAACCCGGAUGACGAAGGCAAAGGACAAGAGAUAGAACACCUGGAGUUUAAGAUCGUGGUGGAGCCAAAGGAUUCCCCACCCUUCACCGUCAUCCUGGUGGCCUCAUCCCGGCAGGAGAAGGCAGCAUGGACCAGUGACAUCAUCCAGUGCGUGGAUAAUAUCCGCUGCAAUGGGCUCAUGAUGAAUGCCUUUGAAGAAAAUUCCAAGGUCACCGUGCCUCAGAUGAUCAAGUCUGAUGCUUCCUUAUAUUGUGAUGAUGUUGACAUUCGCUUCAGCAAGACCAUGAAUUCUUGCAAAGUGCUUCAGAUCCGCUAUGCCAGCGUGGAUCGCCUGCUGGAGCGCCUGACUGAUCUUCGCUUCCUGAGUAUUGACUUUCUCAACACUUUCCUGCACUCCUAUCGUGUCUUCACCACUGCUAUGGUGGUCCUAGACAAGCUGAUCAACAUCUACAGAAAACCCAUGAGUGCGAUUCCUGCCAGGUCACUGGAACUCUUGUUUUCCAGCAGCCACAACGCCAAGCUUCUGUACGGAGAUGCCCCCAAGUCUCCUCGCGCUAGCCGCAAGUUCUCCUCACCACCACCCUUGGCCAUCGGGACAUCGUCCCCCAGCCGCCGUCGGAAGCUGUCCCUCAACAUCCCCAUCAUCACAGGCGGAAAGGCACUGGAACUGGCUUCGCUCGGGUGCAGCUCUGACGGCUACACCAACAUACACUCACCCAUAUCUCCCUUCGGCAAAACCACGCUGGACACCGGCAAGCUCUGUAUAGCCAGCACCUUACCCAAGACUCCGGAGGAGGUUGAGACGCCGACCCCAGAGAAGCCUGGGGAGCUAUCAGCCUUCAAGAAGCAUAGCCCUGAUGUCUUGAAAGAAGAGUCUGAUGAUGACCAGAACCACAGUGGUGAAGAAGAUACAGAAGUAUCACCAGUUAAAUCUCCACCAACACCGAAAUCGUUCCUAAACAGAACCAUUACAGAGUUCCCAUUCUUUAACUACAACUACAACUACAACAUGAUGACCACAUGUCGUGAUCUGGUGGACAACAACCGCAGCACUCUCUCAGCCACUUCUGCCUUUGCCAUAGCGACUGCAGGAGCCAAUGAAGGCCCCUCAAACAAGGAGGUGUUUCGAAGAAUGUCUUUGGCCAACACAGGCUUUUCCUCUGACCAGAGAAAUAUCGACAAGGAGUUUGUGAUCCGCAGAGCUGCCACCAAUCGUGUGCUGAAUGUGCUCCGCCACUGGGUCACCAAACACACCCAGGACUUUGAUACCGACGAUAUGCUCAAAUACAAGGUGAUCUGCUUCCUGGAAGAGGUCAUGCAUGACCCAGACCUUCUGACUCAAGAGCGAAAGGCAGCCGCCAACAUCAUCAGGACUCUGACCCUAGAAGAAACAACUGACAACCAUAGCAUGCUGGAAGAGGUCAUACUGAUGACGGAGGGUGUGAAGAUUGAGCCCUUCGAAAACCACCCAGCCCUGGAGAUAGCAGAGCAGCUGACCCUGCUGGAUCACCUUGUCUUCAGGAGUAUUCCUUAUGAAGAAUUCUUUGGCCAGGGCUGGAUGAAGCCCGAGAAGUAUGAAAGGACACCUUACAUUAUGAAAACCACCAAACACUUCAACCAUGUCAGUAACUUCAUUGCUUCAGAAAUUAUCCGAAACGAGGACAUCAACGCAAGAGCAAGCGCCAUCGAGAAGUGGGUGGCUGUGGCCGACAUAUGUCGCUGCCUGCACAACUAUAAUGCCGUGCUGGAGAUCACUUCCUCCAUCAACCGCAGUGCAAUCUUCCGACUCAAAAAGACAUGGCUCAAAGUUUCUAAGCAGACGAAAUCUUUGCUUGACAAGCUCCAAAAGCUUGUGUCAUCGGAUGGCAGAUUUAAGAAUCUCAGAGAGGCUUUGAGAAAACAGAUGUUGAACUCAUCUGUGCUAUCCGGCCGUCUCUCCUCCGCCCGGGCUCCCUGGAGCCCUUGUGGACUGUGCUUAUACGAAGCUGCCCCUGUGCAUUCACCAACUGUCUGGGCGUUGCUCCAUCCGCCUCCUUCACACGGCUUCCUCAUCCACCGCAGCCACUACUGCUACCUAACUGUCUCCGUGGCUCCCAUUCUGUCUGACCCUCUCCUGACUGUCUUCCCUUUCAGGUCACCUGUAUGCCUGUGCGUCAGAAAGCUGCCACGGUACAUGGACAUGAGCCCGUGCUCAGAGCUACACAUCAGAGGCCUGGUCCCUCACACCAGAGUCUCAAUCUCUUGUAACUACAGACCCUGAGAAUCACCCACCCUUUCCAGAGGACACGUCCAGGAAAGUGGUCAGAGGGCCAGGGUUUCCCACUCUGGCCCUCAAACCUAGGUGACAAGAAGACAGGUCUUGGGAACGCCGCACUGAGUGACUGCUGGAACUUGGGCAUGGGUGGCACGGCCUCCCCAGAGGUGACUGAACACAGAAUAACAGUGGAAAAAACUGAACCAGGAGGUAGCUGGGAACAGCUGGGGAACUCCACUGCGCGUAUGCCAGAGAAGUAAAGGAAGGCAUUUGGGGUCAUAGAGGGAGGAGAUUGAAGUAAGACCCCUUCUCCUGGCUUGCGCGUGAGGGCUCAGGCAGCUCCAUACUAUCCCACCCUCCAGCCUGGCUGGGGAUCUAUCAAGGCCUGUGUGUGCCCUGUGAUUCUUCAUAACUAUAAACCCCUUUGCCUCUAGCCAGGCAAGAUCUGCAUGCAGACUGCUCUGCUCUUAGCGGACGUUCCUUUCCUUAAGUAAAAAACUUUUGUGGAUGCCAUUUCUUUCCAAGUUGUGAUCCACCCUGUGUCCCUUACCUGGGGAUGUAUCUCACCGACCUGGUGUUCAUCGAGGAGGGGACACCCAACUACACAGAGGACGGACUGGUCAACUUCUCCAAGAUGAGGAUGAUCUCCCAUAUCAUC
This is an RNA transcript of Mastomys coucha (southern multimammate mouse), 5011 nucleotides long. It is a transcript of the gene named Ras protein specific guanine nucleotide releasing factor 1, with no coding region annotated. Lineage: Eukaryota; Metazoa; Chordata; Mammalia; Rodentia; Muridae. The transcript is spliced from 27 exons. The record is from RefSeq and is a predicted model, not a curated record.